Molecule: long non-coding RNA, 3160 nt
Filed under: Sus scrofa (pig)
Lineage: Eukaryota; Metazoa; Chordata; Mammalia; Artiodactyla; Suidae
Description: lncRNA (ENSSSCG00000052673.1)
Source: RNAcentral
CUCACGGUAAAGUCCUAUGUGUUUGUUUUCAAUCCAUGGAUUUAGCUUAUGAACAAGUUGUUCACUCUGCCUGCUCUUCGCCUCGUCCAGAUCUGACUGCACCCGGAUCUGAGUAUAAGUGAAGACAUGCAUAACUCAGCCUCGUUUGAUGAAUGGAGUGCUUGAUGCCGAAGUGGCUCAGAAGGAUCACUUUGGAUUAGAAAGGAAUAGUUAUGCGGCAUUGCCACCUGCAAAUUUGUUCAUGGCUUUGCCUGAGUUUACGGCUGGGCUUUGGGCUGAAAAGCUCUUAAACAUGAUUUAUCAACAGCUUCAGAAGUCUCCAUGGGGUCUGCACUAAUUCAACCAGGACUUUCUGCUGCUGAAAAGAACUUAAGCACCAUUUUCCAAGGGCGUCUGUGACCUUCACAGAGCAAUUUAACAGGUCUCUUCCAAGUUAGAAAACAAAAAGUAUUUUCAAAGCCACAUCAAAGUAUUCUUAAUUUAAACAUCAUACACGUUAGAAUUUGCCUCCUUUCUACUUCCUGUGAUGAUUUCUGUCACAAGUUUAUCUUAACCAGAAGUCACUUUCUUAAGGGUUAUGAAAUCUAUCCGUCGUAUCAGAGCUUCCUUUUAGGGCAAGACCGGGUUGCAUGUGAAACAGUAGAGGUAAGAUACAGGCAGCUAAGCCAUCAGAUAAUUUGUUGGAUUUUUAACUCUGUGACUUCCAUUAAUUGAAAAGAGAAAAUGCUGCUCUCUUAGGUAAGGGCAGGGAUGAAGCUGUUUGGUUAACAAAUUUGAAGCCUAGUAGUUUAGUUUAUUUUAUUAAAUUCUCCAAUAUUCCUUGAAAAAUAUAUUUUAGAAAAUGAAGUAUCCUGUGGGGUUAAUUUCAUCUUAAAAAGAUAAAUAAUUUUUAGUACCUUGCAUUUUGUAUGAGCUUUCUUCUACUUCAAAGUAUGACUCUCCUCAUAUACGUCUUCCAGAAACUAUAUGAAAUAAAUAGGUCAGGAAAACGUUUUUAUUACCAUUGGAAAGGAAAGAAAGCUGAGAAGUCUUUUGAAUGACUUUUUCUGGUGAAAGAACCAAGUUCUUCAAGGAUUGAAUUUAAAUAAUGUCUUGAAUUCUAAUAACAGGAGUUUUUAGGAAAAAGUCAAAGACAAAAACACCUUGAGAUCUAUUCUAUCUUCUUUACCUUUGAAAAUCUUAACAAAAGAGUCUUCUGGGUAUAUGAGAAGUUGACUCUUAGUGAUCAGCCCUCUUCUAUUAAGGCAAUCUUUGGACCAAAGGGAACUGCUCUUCCUAAAGUGGUACAUGGUGAGGGAGACCCUCUAAUUAUAUGCAUCGGUUUCCUUUGUGCAGCUGUGUGUCAUUCAAGGUAGACUCGGUUAUGCUGCAUAAAAGCAACCCCAGAUUUUAGGCCCUCAUAAUAAUAAAGCUCUGUGUCCAUGUUAAGUCAGCUUUGGCUCUUCAUCCUCCGUUCCUUCACUCUUCUGACCAUGCUAAUGGAACAGCCUCUAUCGGGAAAUGUUGGUUUCAGGCAGAGGAAACCAGACAUGGUAUUCCACAAACUUCCUUUCUAGUUGAGGAGUUCCCACUGUGGCAGAGUGGGUUAAGGAUCUGAGUUGGCUCUGCAGCACCUUGGGUUCGAUCCCCAGCCUGACGCAGGGUUUAGGACUGGUGUGGUCACAGCUGUGGCUCAGAUUCAAUCCUUGGCUUCGGUCCAGAACUCACAUAAGCUGUGGGUGUGGCAAAAAGAAACAUAAGUAAAUAAAAAUAAAAAGUGAAGCUCUAGUUGAAAGUGACUACAUUUCAUUGUUGUAAAGAAGUCACAUGGCCAGACUGGUGCCAGUGACUAUAAGGGCACAUUAUGUUGCUGUUGGGAGUGAAAGCUAAUAAUUGUUCAUAUUAAAACUUAGCAUAAUCUUGAAAAGGUCAUUAUGAAAUGGGAAAAUAAUUUUGACUAAGUUUCAAGAAACAUUUUGACUUUUGCUUCAAAAUUUCAUGGAAUGGCUUGUUAUAGACUAGUGCCUCUGGUAAGAAUAACUAGAAUAGCUGAAUUAAAAAUCUUUCAGAGUUCCCGUCAUGGUGCAUUGAAACAAUUCCAACUGGGAUCAUGAAGUUUCGGGUUCAAUCCCUCACCUCAGCGGGUUAAGGAUCCAGUGUUGCCGUGAGCUGUGGUGUAGGUCGCAGAUGAGGCUCGGAUCUGACGUUGCUGUGGCUGUGGUAUAGGCCAGUGGCAACAGCUUUGAUUACCCCUAGCCGGGAACCUCCAUAUGCCGUGGAUGUGGCCCUAUAAGGACAAAAGGCAAAAAUAAAAAUAAAAAUAAAAAUCUUUUUGAAGAUGUCAAGAGUCUCUUAAGCAGCUAGACCCUAACAGUCCAAGAUCGUGGAGUGAAGAGAAGCUCAUUGAGUUGGGCCAACAUUCUAUGCAUUGCUUUCUGCUAGAGGGCAUUUGCUGACUCUUAAGAAUAAGAGGAUGUGAAGUCAGGGGUAAUCAGAUGAGGAAGCUGAGGAGCAAGCCGAGUUUAAAACACUCUCAUGGGAAUGAGGAUACUGACCUUAGCUCCAGAGUACCCAAGCAUCUUAGACAUGAGAGCCCAAGGUUAUGGAUGGGAAGUAGAUGUAAAGAGGUUAGCCUGCAAUCUGCCAGUGUUUCCCUUGGGGCAUUGCUGUGUAUUAAACUGCACAGAGAAAGAGGCUUAGAAGUCAAGAUUAGUACUAAAAAGCUAAACAGAACUGAGGUUUUGGUUUUUCCUUUUCUUUUUAAGGGCUGCAUCCACAGUAGUAGUUCCUGAGCUACUAGGGGUCAAAUCGGAGCUGCAGCUGCCAGCCUAGGCCACAGCCAACAACACAGGAUCCCAGCCACAUCUUUGACCUGUACCACAGCUCAUGGCAAUGCCAGACGGAGCCUUAACCCACUAAGCGAGGUCAGGAUCAAACCUGCAUCCUCAUGGAUACUAGUCAGAUUCUUUUCCUAUGGAUGCAAUGGGAACUCAGAACUGAAUUUUUAUUAGAAACAAUAGAAGUAAAAAGAAAAUUUAAAAACUUCAAAGUAUGGAGAAAAAUUAGCUGCUUAUUUAGAUUUCCUAAGUAAAAAUAUCCUUUAAAAGAUAAAGGCAUUUCUCUACAAGCAAAGACUGAGAGAAUUUGUUGCCAGUGACAGUGAAUGAAAAUAUACAUGAAA